This 384-nucleotide ribosomal RNA is filed under the name uncultured bacterium. RNAcentral describes it as "bacterial SSU rRNA". It matches the Rfam family "Bacterial small subunit ribosomal RNA", at positions 28 to 410 of the family's 1533-position model. The record is from RNAcentral.
GACGAACGCUGGCGGCGUGCUUAACACAUGCAAGUCGAGCGGUAAGGCCCUUUCGGGGGUACACGAGCGGCGAACGGGUGAGUAACACGUGGGUGACCUGCCCUUAGCUCUGGGAUAAGCCUGGGAAACUGGGUCUAAUACCGGAUAUGACUCCAUGACGCAUGUUGUGGGGUGGAAAGCCUUGUGCGGCUAGGGAUGGGCCCGCGGCCUAUCAGCUUGUUGGUGGGGUGAUGGCCCUACCAAGGCGACGACGGGUAGCCGGCCUGAGAGGGCGACCGGCCACACUGGGACUGAGACACGGCCCAGACUCCUACGGGAGGGCAGCAGUGGGGAAUCUUGCGCAAUGGGGCGAAAGCCUGACGCAGCGACGCCGCGUGAGGGAUG